Molecule: unclassified non-coding RNA, 263 nt
Filed under: plant metagenome
Description: partial contains small subunit ribosomal RNA, internal transcribed spacer 1, and 5.8S ribosomal RNA
Source: RNAcentral
UUUCCGUAGGUGAACCUGCGGAAGGAUCAUUAUUGUAUAACCGAGGUGCGAGGGAUGUCGCUGACCCGAAAGGUCGUGCACGCCCGAGUGCCCUCACACACAUCCAUCUCACCCCUAUGUGCACCACCGCGUGGGUCCCCCUUUGGCUUGUUCGGAGGGGGGCUUACGUUUUCACACAAACUUUGUAUGCAGUGUAGAAUGUAUUUUUUGUUUUUGCGAUCACGCAAUCAAUACAACUUUCAACAACGGAUCUCUUGGCUCUC